RNAcentral lists this transfer RNA (66 nucleotides) under Uta stansburiana. RNAcentral describes it as "tRNA-Cys". Lineage: Eukaryota; Metazoa; Chordata; Lepidosauria; Squamata; Phrynosomatidae. The record is from RNAcentral.
AAGCCCCGGAACCCUUUUGGGUUCUACUUCAAACUUGCAUUUUGAUGUGUAAUACACCUCGAGACU